AGUGAACGCUGGCGGCGUGCCUAAUACAUGCAAGUCGAACGGAAUUUAAAAGAGCUUGCUCUUUUAAAUUUAGUGGCGCACGGGUGAGUAAUAUAUAGCUAAUCUGCCCCUUGCUGGAGGACAACAGUUAGAAAUGACUGCUAAUACUCCAUACUCCUUUUUACCAUAAGAUAAAUCGGGAAAGAAUUUCGGCAAGGGAUGAGACUAUAUCGUAUCAGCUAGUCGGUGGGGUAACGGCCUACCGAGGCUAUGACGCGUAACUGGUCUGAGAGGAUGAUCAGUCACAUUGGAACUGAGACACGGUCCAAACUCCUACGGGAGGCAGCAGUAGGGAAUAUUGCGCAAUGGGGGAAACCCUGACGCAGCAACGCCGCGUGGAGGAUGACACUUUUCGGAGCGUAAACUCCUUUUG
Molecule: ribosomal RNA, 412 nt
Filed under: Campylobacter gracilis
Lineage: Bacteria; Pseudomonadati; Campylobacterota; Epsilonproteobacteria; Campylobacterales; Campylobacteraceae
Description: bacterial SSU rRNA
Rfam family: Bacterial small subunit ribosomal RNA
Source: RNAcentral